RNAcentral lists this non-coding RNA (844 nucleotides) under Pongo abelii (Sumatran orangutan). The record is from RNAcentral. Lineage: Eukaryota; Metazoa; Chordata; Mammalia; Primates; Hominidae.
GUUCGAGCCGCCCUGCAGCGGUGUGGAGACUCCGACCAGCUGGGGCAGGCGGCUCAGGUCGCGGCCAGCCAGGGGUUGGGAAACUAGCUUCCAUGGCCAAACCUAGCCCACUGUCUGUUUUGGUGUCCAUGGAUUGGCUGGGACAGCUCUGCUUAAGGAUGUAGUAGCUCUGUAGGUUGGCUAGUUUCCUGCUCUUCCCAACCUGCCCUAUGGACUUCAUAAGAUUUCAGCAUUAGAGAGAAUAUAGAAGGACAUCAACCCUAACUUCAUCCAGUGAGGAUUUCCACACACCAUACACUCUCUGAGAGUUCUCUUGGCUUUGUGUGCACACCUCCAGUGACAGGGAGCUCGCUAUGUCAUGAGGCAGCCUGCUCCCUUGUGGCUAUCACUGACCCAACUAUUAAGCCUUCUUAUACAGACAGUCCCUGACUUACUGUUAGACUUACAACUUUUUGAUUUUACAGUGGUGCAAAAGCAAUAUGCAUUCAAUAGAAACUGUAUUUCAAAUUUUGAAUUAUGAUCUUUUCCCAGGCUAGCAACAUAUGAAGACCAACCUUUUAUUUUUAAAGUAGGCUUUGUUUUAGAUGCUUUUGCCCAACUAUAGGUUAAUGUGAAUGUUCUGAGAAUAUUUAAGGAAGGCUAGGCUAAACUGUGAUCUUUGGGAGCUCAGAUAUGUUAAGUGCAUUUUCAACUUACAAUAUUUUCAACUUACGAUGAGUUUAUUGGGAUGAAGCCCAUUGUAAGUAAAGGAGCAUCUACAUUAAGCUAAAAUCCAUGUCUAUAACUUUCUCAGUAAUAUCAAGUUUGUUCCUUGGAGCCAGAGAAUAAACGGAAUGCUUUUCCA